RNAcentral lists this ribosomal RNA (253 nucleotides) under uncultured bacterium. RNAcentral describes it as "partial 16S ribosomal RNA". It matches the Rfam family "Bacterial small subunit ribosomal RNA", at positions 524 to 776 of the family's 1533-position model. The record is from RNAcentral.
UACAGAGGGUGCAAGCGUUAAUCGGAAUUACUGGGCGUAAAGCGUGCGUAGACGGUUAUGUAAGUCAGAUGUGAAAGCCCCGGGCUUAACCUGGGAAUGGCAUUUGAGACUGCAUAGCUAGGAUGCGGAAGAGGGCAGUGGAAUUUCCGGUGUAGCGGUGAAAUGCGUAGAUAUCGGAAGGAACAUCAGUGGCGAAAGCGACUGCCUGGUCCAGCAUCGACGUUCAGGCACGAAAGCGUGGGGAGCAAACAGG